This is a long non-coding RNA of Orbicella faveolata, 414 nucleotides long. NCBI's taxonomy places the organism in Eukaryota, Metazoa, Cnidaria, Anthozoa, Scleractinia, Merulinidae. The record is from RefSeq and is a predicted model, not a curated record.
CCUUAAUAGACAGAGUAGUAUUUAUAGACAGCACAUGGCAACAGUGUCAUCAGAUAAUAACUGACGAGAAGUUGAAAGAACUUCAAAGAGUAAAACUUGAAAAAGCUGUAACACACUUUUGGAGGCCUCAGAGGAAGCCUGAAACAUGCCUGGCCACCAUUGAAGCUGUUUACUACUUUUUCAAGGAAUAUGAUCAGCACAUUUUAAAAAGGUUUGAAAAUGCUUCCACUGUACCAUAUCUGUGUAAAAAAAAAUCCUCCCCUAAUUUUGCCCUGUCAAAUAAGCGCUCAGGGCAAAAAUUGUUUUAAAAAUAGACUAGCAAGCGCAGCCCACAAAUAUCAUUGUUCUCCCCCCCUCCCUCCAAUCCCCAAUCAACAAUGCUGCCCUUGCUGGAAGUACUUAAUGAGCUCUUUU